RNAcentral lists this ribosomal RNA (484 nucleotides) under uncultured bacterium. Its description in RNAcentral is "partial 16S ribosomal RNA". It matches the Rfam family "Bacterial small subunit ribosomal RNA", at positions 30 to 507 of the family's 1533-position model. The record is from RNAcentral.
AUUGAACGCUGGCGGCAGGCCUAACACAUGCAAGUCGAGCGGAUGAAGGGAGCUUGCUCCUGGAUUCAGCGGCGGACGGGUGAGUAAUGCCUAGGAAUCUGCCUGGUAGUGGGGGAUAACGUCCGGAAACGGGCGCUAAUACCGCAUACGUCCUGCGGGAGAAAGUGGGGGAUCUUCGGACCUCACGCUAUCAGAUGAGCUUAGGUCGGAUUAGCUAGUUGGUGGGGUAAAGGCCUACCAAGGCGACGAUCCGUAACUGGUCUGAGAGGAUGAUCAGUCACACUGGAACUGAGACACGGUCCAGACUCCUACGGGAGGCAGCAGUGGGGAAUAUUGGACAAUGGGCGAAAGCCUGAUCCAGCCAUGCCGCGUGUGUGAAGAAGGUCUUCGGAUUGUAAAGCACUUUAAGUUGGGAGGAAGGGCAGUAAGUUAAUACCUUGCUGUUUUGACGUUACCAACAGAAUAAGCACCGGCUAACUUCGUG